ACGCUGGCGGCAGGCCUAACACAUGCAAGUCGAGCGGUAGCACGGGAGAGCUUGCUCUCUGGGUGACGAGCGGCGGACGGGUGAGUAAUGUCUGGGAAACUGCCUGAUGGAGGGGGAUAACUACUGGAAACGGUAGCUAAUACCGCAUGACCUCGCAAGAGCAAAGUGGGGGACCUUCGGGCCUCACGCCAUCGGAUGUGCCCAGAUGGGAUUAGCUAGUAGGUGGGGUAAUGGCUCACCUAGGCGACGAUCCCUAGCUGGUCUGAGAGGAUGACCAGCCACACUGGAACUGAGACACGGUCCAGACUCCUACGGGAGGCAGCAGUGGGGAAUAUUGCACAAUGGGCGCAAGCCUGAUGCAGCCAUGCCGCGUGUGUGAAGAAGGCCUUAGGGUUGUAAAGCACUUUCAGCGAGGAGGAAGGCGUUGUAGUUAAUAGCUGCAACGAUUGACGUUACUCGCAGAAGAAGCACCGGCUAACUCCGUGCCAGCAGCCGCGGUAAUACGGAGGGUGCAAGCGUUAAUCGGAAUUACUGGGCGUAAAGCGCACGCAGGCGGUUUGUUAAGUCAGAUGUGAAAUCCCCGAGCUUAACUUGGGAACUGCAUUUGAAACUGGCAAGCUAGAGUCUUGUAGAGGGGGGUAGAAUUCCAGGUGUAGCGGUGAAAUGCGUAGAGAUCUGGAGGAAUACCGGUGGCGAAGGCGGCCCCCUGGACAAAGACUGACGCUCAGGUGCGAAAGCGUGGGGAGCAAAC
RNAcentral lists this ribosomal RNA (751 nucleotides) under uncultured bacterium. RNAcentral describes it as "bacterial SSU rRNA". It matches the Rfam family "Bacterial small subunit ribosomal RNA", at positions 33 to 773 of the family's 1533-position model. The record is from RNAcentral.